GACUCCCUGGAGGAAAAGCGGAAGCGGCAGCGGUCUGAACGCCUGGAACGGAUUUUCCAACUUAGUGAGGCUCAUGGGGCCCUGGCACCUGUGUAUGGGACUGAAGUCCUGGAUUUCUGUACCCUGCCCCAACCUGUUGCCAGCCCCAUCGGCCCUCGUUCUCCUGGCCCCAGCCACCCCACCUUUUGGACUUAUACCGAGGCUGCCCACCGGGCUGUACUGUUUCCCCAGCAGCGACUAGACCAGCUGUCAGAAAUCAUUGAGAGGUUCAUCUUUGUCAUGCCUCCUGUGGAGGCACCUCCCCCUUCCCUGCAUGCCUGCCACCCACCUCCUUGGCUGGCCCCACGUCAGGCAGCCUUCCAGGAGCAAUUGGCCUCUGAGCUCUGGCCCCGGGCUCGUCCUUUGCACCGUAUUGUGUGUAACAUGCGCACCCAGUUCCCUGACUUAAGACUCAUCCAGUAUGAUUGCGGAAAGUUGCAGACGUUGGCAGUGCUGUUGCGGCAGCUCAAGGCAGAGGGCCACCGAGUGCUCAUCUUCACCCAGAUGACCCGAAUGCUGGAUGUAUUGGAGCAGUUUCUCACCUACCAUGGCCAUCUCUACCUGCGCCUGGAUGGAUCUACUAGAGUUGAACAGAGACAGGCCUUGAUGGAACGGUUCAAUGCAGACAAACGCAUAUUCUGCUUCAUCCUUUCAACUCGGAGUGGGGGUGUGGGCGUGAACCUGACAGGAGCAGACACUGUUGUUUUUUAUGACAGCGACUGGAAUCCCACCAUGGAUGCUCAGGCCCAGGACCGCUGUCACCGAAUUGGCCAGACCCGGGAUGUCCACAUAUAUAGGCUUAUCAGUGAACGGACAGUGGAGGAGAACAUCCUAAAAAAGGCAAAUCAGAAGAGAAUGUUGGGGGACAUGGCCAUUGAGGGAGGCAACUUCACCACAGCCUAUUUCAAACAG
This 951-nucleotide non-coding RNA is filed under the name Homo sapiens (human). The record is from RNAcentral. Lineage: Eukaryota; Metazoa; Chordata; Mammalia; Primates; Hominidae.